AUUGAACGCUGGCGGCAUGCUUUACACAUGCAAGUCGAACGGUAACAGGCCUUCGGGUGCUGACGAGUGGCGAACGGGUGAGUAAUGCAUCGGAACGUGCCCAGAGGUGGGGGAUAACGCAGCGAAAGCUGUGCCAAUACCGCAUGUGAUCUGAGGAUGAAAGCGGGGGACCAAGCAGCAAUGUUUGGCCUCGCGCCUCUGGAGCGGCCGAUGUCAGAUUAGGUAGUUGGUGGGGUAAAGGCCUACCAAGCCGACGAUCUGUAGCUGGUCUGAGAGGACGACCAGCCACACUGGGACUGAGACACGGCCCAGACUCCUACGGGAGGCAGCAGUGGGGAAUUUUGGACAAUGGGCGCAAGCCUGAUCCAGCAAUGCCGCGUGCGGGAAGAAGGCCUUCGGGUUGUAAACCGCUUUUGUACGGAACGAAAAGGCUCUGGCUAAUACCUGGGGCUGAUGACGGUACCGUAAGAAUAAGCACCGGCUAACUACGUG
This 492-nucleotide ribosomal RNA is filed under the name uncultured bacterium. Its description in RNAcentral is "partial 16S ribosomal RNA". It matches the Rfam family "Bacterial small subunit ribosomal RNA", at positions 30 to 507 of the family's 1533-position model. The record is from RNAcentral.